GUCAAUGGACGAGAGUCUGAACCAGCCAAGUAGCGUGCAGGAUGACGGCCCUAUGGGUUGUAAACUGCUUUUAUAAGGGAAUAAAGUGAGUCUCGUGAGACUUUUUGCAUGUACCUUAUGAAUAAGGACCGGCUAAUUCCGUGCCAGCAGCCGCGGUAAUACGGAAGGUCCGGGCGUUAUCCGGAUUUAUUGGGUUUAAAGGGAGCGUAGGCCGGAGAUUAAGCGUGUUGUGAAAUGUAGAUGCUCAACAUCUGCACUGCAGCGCGAACUGGUUUCCUUGAGUACGCACAAAGUGGGCGGAAUUCGUGGUGUAGCGGUGAAAUGCUUAGAUAUCACGAAGAACUCCGAUUGCGAAGGCAGCUCACUGGAGCGCAACCGACGCUGAAGCUCGAAAGUGCGGGUAUCGAACAGGAUUAGGUACCCUGGUAGUCCGCACGGUAAACGAUGGAUGCCCGCUGUUGGUCUGAAUAGGUCAGCGGCCAAGCGAAAGCAUUAAGCAUCCCACCUGGGGAGUACGCCGGCAACGGUGCAACUCAAAUGAAUUGACGGAAU
Molecule: ribosomal RNA, 552 nt
Filed under: uncultured organism
Description: bacterial SSU rRNA
Rfam family: Bacterial small subunit ribosomal RNA
Source: RNAcentral